GGGAAACUGGGUCUAAUACCGGAUAGGAGCCAUCUUUAGUGUGGUGGUUGGAAAGUUUUUUCGGUGUAGGAUGAGCUCGCGGCCUAUCAGCUUGUUGGUGGGGUAAUGGCCUACCAAGGCGGCGACGGGUAGCCGGCCUGAGAGGGUGUACGGCCACAUUGGGACUGAGAUACGGCCCAG
This 180-nucleotide ribosomal RNA is filed under the name uncultured Actinomycetales bacterium. Its description in RNAcentral is "partial 16S ribosomal RNA". It matches the Rfam family "Bacterial small subunit ribosomal RNA", at positions 151 to 334 of the family's 1533-position model. The record is from RNAcentral. Lineage: Bacteria; Bacillati; Actinomycetota; Actinomycetes; Actinomycetales.